RNAcentral lists this ribosomal RNA (257 nucleotides) under Escherichia coli. RNAcentral's name for it is "partial 16S ribosomal RNA". It matches the Rfam family "Bacterial small subunit ribosomal RNA", at positions 207 to 463 of the family's 1533-position model. The record is from RNAcentral. Lineage: Bacteria; Pseudomonadati; Pseudomonadota; Gammaproteobacteria; Enterobacterales; Enterobacteriaceae.
CGGGCCUCUUGCCAUCGGAUGUGCCCAGAUGGGAUUAGCUAGUAGGUGGGGUAACGGCUCACCUAGGCGACGAUCCCUAGCUGGUCUGAGAGGAUGACCAGCCACACUGGAACUGAGACACGGUCCAGACUCCUACGGGAGGCAGCAGUGGGGAAUAUUGCACAAUGGGCGCAAGCCUGAUGCAGCCAUGCCGCGUGUAUGAAGAAGGCCUUCGGGUUGUAAAGUACUUUCAGCGGGGAGGAAGGGAGUAAAGUUAA